RNAcentral lists this ribosomal RNA (56 nucleotides) under Oxalis corniculata f. rubrifolia. Its description in RNAcentral is "partial 5.8S ribosomal RNA". The record is from RNAcentral. Lineage: Eukaryota; Viridiplantae; Streptophyta; Magnoliopsida; Oxalidales; Oxalidaceae.
ACGCAAGUUGCGCCCCAAGCCGUUAGGCCGAGGGCACGUCUGCCUGGGUGUCACAC